GCUUCCUUGGCAUGUGUUGAAACAUCAAAGAUUGGAUUUUGCUAAGUGGAUUCACUUACGGGUAGGUCUGCUUCCUCCAGCUGCUUCCUUUCAGUUGCCAGAGGCCGUCUACUCUCUUUGUCUUUGGGGGUUCUCAGCUGCAGUGCCCAUGGCCCCUCUAAAAGAAACUUGGCCUACACUGGCCCCCUUGCCUUGGGCAGAGGAGGGGAGUCUGGUGAGGCUCCUUUGGCAUGGUGGCUCAGGAAUGCUGGGAAUGUCAGUAGCGUAGGCUUUUUUCUCCCAGCCCAUGCCUGGACUCAGGAUGAGGGCAGGUUCCUGAGGGAGUGGUAGGGAGAAUGGGUCUUAGGGGGGCUCUGGGCUGGGGGUGGAUCUUGCAAAUGCCCUUUUACUAUUAGCUUUGGAAACAGUUUUAUUUUAGUUCCUCCUCCCCUGGUGGCUACAAGCCUGCAUUUUUCUCAUCAAUGUGACUGUUAUGAGGUGAUCUUCCCUCCCCUGAUUCUGGAGUUUGGAAACACUGAAGGACUCUGGCCUGGGUGUGGGAAGAACUCAGAGUGUGGCAGGCAGUCAGGACAGUAGAGCCAGAGCUUCCUUUACUGUCAUGAGCUUGCCCUGGUUUUUAUCUGGGAGGGAGAGAGUCCACAGGAUGCUUCUUGGGUAUGGCCCUUCCAGGCUAUUUGUCUAGGGAAGCUGAGCUAGUAUUUAUGACCGUAGGGCAUGGUGGUGGGAAAGAAAAGAACCAGAAGUCUUCAGAGAAGAAGGAAGGCUAGGCAAAAACUGGUUUCUCUUAAAGUUUCUCAUUGUGACCACUCUCCCUGCUUUCCCCCUCAGGAAUCAUACCCUGCUGUGCCCCCCAUCUGGUCGGUGGAGUCUGAUGAUCCUAACUUGGCUGCUGUCUUGGAGAGGCUGGUGGACAUAAAGAAAGGGAAUACUUUGGUGAGGGGGGCAGUGGGGAGGAGUAUGUGUGUUCCUGGAGAGGCUUCAGCAAUAAAAGUACCCUGUGAGAGGUAGCUAGAUCUGAAAAGGGUGGUACUCUAGGUGGAAUGUCUUGGGCCUGACUUUUUAAGAGAGUUGCCUACUGAAGCCAGAGGAAGCAGAGUCCUAUAGCAGAUCCAGGAUAGAUCCACUAGGAAAAGUCAUUCCUAUCACCACAAGGUCCAUCCACUGUAGAGAACCAGCCACCAUUUUGAGAUCUAAGCUAAAAGCUCACACAGCUAUCCAGAUUGUAGUAGGAAAGACAUAUUUGAUGUCUCCCCACCCCAGCUCUUGCAGCAUCUGAAGAGGAUCAUCUCUGACCUGUGUAAACUCUACAACCUCCCUCAGCAUCCUGAUGUGGAAAUGCUGGAUCAGCCCUUGCCAGCAGAGCAGUGCACGCAGGAAGAAGUAUCUUCAGAAGACGAAGACGAAGAGAUGCCCGAG
Molecule: long non-coding RNA, 1416 nt
Filed under: Rattus norvegicus (Norway rat)
Lineage: Eukaryota; Metazoa; Chordata; Mammalia; Rodentia; Muridae
Description: long non-coding RNA NONRATT015459
Source: RNAcentral